Long non-coding RNA from Suricata suricatta (meerkat), 418 nucleotides. RefSeq lists it as uncharacterized. The transcript has 3 exons. NCBI's taxonomy places the organism in Eukaryota, Metazoa, Chordata, Mammalia, Carnivora, Herpestidae. The record is from RefSeq and is a predicted model, not a curated record.
CACAUUCUUACAGAACUGCUCUCUCUGGGAAAUCUGACACAGCUAGAAAGCAAUGGAAAACACUAAGUGUUGCCUCAGAUGACGAAGAGGAACUGAUCAUACCAUGGAGAUAAAGAUGAUCUCUUUAAGGAGGAUUUCAAAAAUCUGGUUAUUUCAAGAUCAGCAAGAGUGGGCUGCAAAUAAAUUUCAUCCCUUUUCAGGACGUUUCCUUGUCAAGAGCAUUCUAGAUUCACUCUGUGGAAAAAUGUCUACAGUAGAUUUAGUAUGAUUAUGAUCUUGCCUUAAUUCUAUUAGGUAAGUAGUUUCCUUUUACUAUUUCUUAACACUGCAUCUGAUAUUAGCUUCCAGUAUUACUGGCACUGUAUGUGACCCAAGGGAGAGUUAGAAAGGAAGUAAAAGAUGUGGCCUCAGAAGGCCC